CCAUAUAACACACCUCUUUGAAAAUGACCGUCAUUUUUCUCACCUCUCAACAUUGGAAAGGGAGAUGGCUUUUCGCACUGAAAUGGGACUAUAUUAUUCCUAUUUCAAGACUAUUGUGGAAGCACCCUCAUUUUUGAAUGGAGUAUGGAUGAUUAUGAAUGAUAAACUGACUGAAUACCCGCUUGUCAUUAAUACAUUAAAAAGAUUCAAUCUUUACCCUGAGGUAAUUUUGGCCAGUUGGUACCGGAUUUAUACCAAAAUAAUGGACUUGAUUGGUAUUCAAACCAAGAUAUGUUGGACGGUUACCAGAGGAGAAGGACUCAGUCCUAUUGAAAGCUGUGAAGGAUUGGGAGAUCCUGCUUGCUUUUAUGUUGCUGUAAUUUUUAUUUUAAAUGGACUAAUGAUGGCAUUAUUCUUCAUAUAUGGCACAUAUUUAAGUGGCAGCCGAUUAGGAGGCCUGGUUACAGUGUUGUGCUUCUUUUUCAAUCAUGGAGAGUGUACCCGUGUAAUGUGGACACCACCUCUCCGUGAAAGCUUCUCAUAUCCAUUUCUUGUUCUUCAGAUGUUGCUAGUGACUCAUAUUCUCAGGGCUACAAAACUUUAUAGAGGAAGCUUGAUUGCACUCUGCAUUUCCAAUGUAUUUUUCAUGCUUCCUUGGCAGUUUGCUCAGUUUGUACUUCUUACUCAGAUUGCAUCAUUAUUUGCAGUAUAUGUUGUCGGGUACAUUGAUAUAUGUAAAUUACGGAAGAUCAUUUAUAUACACAUGGGUAUUCUGGCAAUGAAACCACAUUUCCUGAAAAUAAAUGUAUCUGAACUUAGUUUAUGGGUUAUUCAAGGAUGUUUUUGGUUAUUUGGAACUGUCAUACUUAAAUACUUGACAUCUAAAAUUUUUGGUAUUGCAGAUGACGCUCAUAUUGGCAACUUACUAACAUCAAAAUUCUUUAGUUAUAAGGAUUUUGAUACUUUAUUGUAUACCUGUGCAGCGG
RNAcentral lists this long non-coding RNA (986 nucleotides) under Pan troglodytes (chimpanzee). Its description in RNAcentral is "long non-coding RNA NONPTRT016106". Lineage: Eukaryota; Metazoa; Chordata; Mammalia; Primates; Hominidae. The record is from RNAcentral.